RNAcentral lists this ribosomal RNA (632 nucleotides) under Vishniacozyma victoriae. RNAcentral's name for it is "eukaryotic LSU rRNA". It matches the Rfam family "Eukaryotic large subunit ribosomal RNA", at positions 1 to 623 of the family's 3401-position model. Lineage: Eukaryota; Fungi; Basidiomycota; Tremellomycetes; Tremellales; Bulleribasidiaceae. The record is from RNAcentral.
CUGGCCUCAAAUCAGGUAGGGCUACCCGCUGAACUUAAGCAUAUCAAUAAGCGGAGGAAAAGAAACUAACUAGGAUUCCCUUAGUAACGGCGAGUGAACCGGGAUGAGCUCAAAUUUAAAAUCUGGCGUCUUUCAGGCGUCCGAGUUGUAAUCUAUAGAGGCGUUUUCCGCGCCGGACCGCGUCCAAGUCUCUUGGAAUAGAGUAUCAAAGAGGGUGACAAUCCCGUACUUGACGCGACAACCGGUGCUCUGUGAUACGUUCUCAAUGAGUCGAGUUGUUUGGGAAUGCAGCUCUAAAUGGGUGGUAAAUUCCAUCUAAGGCUAAAUAUUGGCGAGAGACCGAUAGCGAACAAGUACCGUGAGGGAAAGAUGAAAAGCACUUUGGAAAGAGAGUUAAACAGCACGUGAAAUUGUUAAAAGGGAAACGAUUGAAGUCAGUCGUGUGAAAGGUAUUCAGCCGUCUCUGGCGGUGUAUUUGCCUUUCACGGGUCAACAUCAGUUUGAUCCGGUAGAAAAAGGCGGGAGGAAGGUGGCACCCUCGGGUGUGUUAUAGCCUCCUGUCAUAUGUGCCGGACCAGACUGAGGAACGCAGCUUGCCGCAAGGCCGGGGUUCGCCCACGUACAAGCGAGGA